AUACGGAGGGUGCAAGCGUUAUUCGGAAUCACUGGGCGUAAAGGGUGCGUAGGCGGUUUGAUAAGUCUGAUGUGAAAUCCUAUGGCUCAACCAUAGAACUGCAUUGGAAACUGUCAGACUAGAAUACUGAAGGGGCAGAUGGAAUUAGUGGUGUAGGGGUAAAAUCCGUAGAUAUCACUAGGAAUACCGAAAGCGAAAGCGAUCUGCUGGGAAGUUAUUGACGCUGAGGCACGAAGGCGUGGGGAGCAAACGGGAUUAGAUACCCUAGUAGUCC
RNAcentral lists this ribosomal RNA (274 nucleotides) under uncultured bacterium. RNAcentral's name for it is "partial 16S ribosomal RNA". It matches the Rfam family "Bacterial small subunit ribosomal RNA", at positions 523 to 796 of the family's 1533-position model. The record is from RNAcentral.